Molecule: ribosomal RNA, 253 nt
Filed under: uncultured bacterium
Lineage: Bacteria
Description: partial 16S ribosomal RNA
Rfam family: Bacterial small subunit ribosomal RNA
Source: RNAcentral
UACGUAGGGGGCAAGCGUUGUCCGGAUUUAUUGGGCGUAAAGAGCGUGUAGGCGGCCAGGUAGGUCUGCUGUGAAAACUCGAGGCUCAACCUCGAGACGUCGGCGGAAACCAUCUGGCUAGAGUCCGGAAGAGGAGAGUGGAAUUCCUGGUGUAGCGGUGAAAUGCGCAGAUAUCAGGAAGAACACCCGUGGCGAAGGCGGCUCUCUGGAACGCAACUGACGCUGAGACGCGAAAGCGUGGGGAGCAAACAGG